RNAcentral lists this long non-coding RNA (350 nucleotides) under Salvia miltiorrhiza (redroot sage). RNAcentral describes it as "long non-coding RNA (SMIL_LNC003299)". The record is from RNAcentral. Lineage: Eukaryota; Viridiplantae; Streptophyta; Magnoliopsida; Lamiales; Lamiaceae.
UGUAACCCGAAGUAUUAAGCAGCUAUAUAGAUUAAUUAUAUUUUGAUUCAAAGACCCUAACAUGAAACUCGUCAACUUUCUAUUUGAUGAGACCUUAGACUAUAUAUAAGGCUAUGUUUAUCCAUAAUCAAUUGGUUUAAGGUUGUAGCUAAAAGACUAAAAAAAAAAAAGAUAAAAUGAAAAUAAAUGAAUACCCAGUCAUCUUAAAAAUUCACAGACCAACUCGUAGAUCACGCUAAAAAGUGGCACACCAAUUUUAAUAAGUUUAACUCAUCAUGCCACAUGAAUAAAUGGAGUUCUAAAUAAAAUAGAUAUAAAUAUUUUAGGUUGAAAUGAGUUAUUGAUAAAAC